This 253-nucleotide ribosomal RNA is filed under the name uncultured bacterium. RNAcentral's name for it is "partial 16S ribosomal RNA". It matches the Rfam family "Bacterial small subunit ribosomal RNA", at positions 524 to 776 of the family's 1533-position model. The record is from RNAcentral.
UACGGAGGGGGCGAGCGUUAUUCGGAAUUAUUGGGCGUAAAGGGCGCGUAGGCGGCCCGCUAAGUCAAAGGUGAAGUCCCUCGGCUCAACUGAGGAACUGCCUUUGAGACUGUCGGGCUUGAGGCCGGGAGGGGGUAGCGGAAUUCCCAGUGUAGCGGUGAAAUGCGUAGAUAUUGGGAGGAACACCAGUGGCGAAGGCGGCUACCUGGACCGGUUCUGACGCUGAUGCGCGAAAGCCAGGGGAGCAAACGGG